AUGUUUACAAAGUCUCAAAGUUUAUUAGUGGUUAUAUCAACUACCACUAACUAUAACCAGAUAAAAUAUAUACUGGGAGUGCUACCCACAAACAUUAUCUCAGCUCACACGCACCACCUCUCUCUCUCUCUCCUCUUGUGCACCACCAUGUCUCGCAUCACGGAUGACCCCGAGCACUCCCCGAGGGACUGCGCCACCAAGCACCGCCACCACCACUCGGCUGGGCGCCGCCGGCUGCUGAUCGGGGCGUUGUCGGCGGCGGCCUCGCUGCUGGCCCUGGCCAUCAUACUCUGGCUCACCCUCCGCCCUUCCAGCCCGCGCUUCACGCUGCUGGCCGCCACGGCCACGGCCACCGCCCCCAACGCCACCGCCGGCGGCAUCGUGCGGCUCGACGCGGCCUUCGUCGCGCACAACCCCAACGCGCGCGCCGCCGCGCUCUACGACCGGCUCCAGGCGCGUGCGUCCUACGCCGGUGUCCAGCUCGCCGCCACCGCGCCGCUCCCGCCGUUCCAGCAGGCCCAGGGCGACGCCGUGCUCACCGCCUCGCUCUCGGCGUCAUCUGCGGCGGCGUCGGCAGCCGAAACUGCAGAGGCCGGGCGCACGACGCUGCUGCUGAGGCUGCGCGUCGAGGGGCAGCUCCGGUGGAAGGUGUCCGCCUGGGUGUCCGGCAACCGCGCCCUCGCCGCCGAGUGCGUCGCUGUCGUCGUGCCGUCGCAGCUCACGGCCGUCGUCGUGCAGGGUUCCCAGUGCGCCACCACCCUCCAGUGA
RNAcentral lists this ribosomal RNA (768 nucleotides) under Triticum aestivum (bread wheat). Its description in RNAcentral is "partial small subunit ribosomal RNA". Lineage: Eukaryota; Viridiplantae; Streptophyta; Magnoliopsida; Poales; Poaceae. The record is from RNAcentral.